This 259-nucleotide long non-coding RNA is filed under the name Vigna radiata. RNAcentral's name for it is "long non-coding RNA (VRAD_LNC004683)". The record is from RNAcentral. Lineage: Eukaryota; Viridiplantae; Streptophyta; Magnoliopsida; Fabales; Fabaceae.
UGGGGAUCCUUUUUCAAAUAUAUAUCGAAACUACUUAGGGCAUCGGUCCUCUCCGCGAAAAGAAACGUUAGGGGAAGUUAAAGAACGUUUGCAGCAGGAAUUAUUCUCUGUACCAGAAGAAGCGUUGGGGGACGUCCAAAAGUUCUUGCGGCAGUACGUAGUCCCUGGACCAGAAGAAACGUUGGGAGAAGCCCAACAGCAUUUACAACAAAAACAAUUUCCUGUAUGCAAAGAAACUUUGAGAGAAAAACAAGCAUGG